RNAcentral lists this non-coding RNA (186 nucleotides) under Hyphomonas sp. Lineage: Bacteria; Pseudomonadati; Pseudomonadota; Alphaproteobacteria; Hyphomonadales; Hyphomonadaceae. The record is from RNAcentral.
AGCCUGUUCCACGCAAAAGGUGCCUGCCUAACCGCAGGUGAAAAGGGAAGCCGGUGAGAAUCCGGCGCUAUGCCCGUAACUGUAAGCGGAGAGGGACUGGCCAUAAAGCCACUGGGAAUUUCCCGGGAAGGCGGCCUGUUCCACCGAUCCGCAAGCCAGGAGACCUGCCUCUUGCCGUCGUUUGCC